Non-coding RNA from Lonchura striata (white-rumped munia), 398 nucleotides. The record is from RefSeq and is a predicted model, not a curated record. Lineage: Eukaryota; Metazoa; Chordata; Aves; Passeriformes; Estrildidae.
GUUUUUUACAUCUGUGUGGAGAACGAGCAACAUCAACAAUUCUUACCUACGCAAUCAACAAACUUAGAAGAGUUGCACAUGUGCAGGAAGCAGUCUGCCUGGACAUGCUGUCAAGCAGAGUGCAGGAGGAAGAGCAAACUAACAGAUGGAAGAGAGCUGGUGAAACAGAAGAAAGCUCCUUGCAUGGUGUUGUCUCUCAGCACAGUCUGUGCAUCACAUUCACACUUGUAAAAUGGGAUUGAGACUUCCUUGCUAAACAGAGUGUCUGUAGAAAUGAGACUAUGUCAAGUAAUCAGAAAGACAACUGGAUAUCAUGUCUGAGGAGGAAAACAGGGCCGAGCUAGUCUUCUUGGCAAAGCAAGAUUGAAACCUUGAUUUAAUAAAGCAGGAUGACGCCA